GGGAGUGUAGCUCAGUGGUAGAACCCCUGUCUAGCAAGUGGGAGGCCCUGGGUUCAAUCCCUAGCACCA
RNAcentral lists this transfer RNA (69 nucleotides) under Mesocricetus auratus (golden hamster). It matches the Rfam family "tRNA". Rfam says of the family: Transfer RNA (tRNA) molecules are approximately 80 nucleotides in length. Their secondary structure includes four short double-helical elements and three loops (D, anti-codon, and T loops). Further hydrogen bonds mediate the characteristic L-shaped molecular structure. tRNAs have two regions of fundamental functional importance: the anti-codon, which is responsible for specific mRNA codon recognition, and the 3' end, to which the tRNAs corresponding amino acid is attached (by aminoacyl-tRNA synthetases). tRNAs cope with the degeneracy of the genetic code in two manners: having more than one tRNA (with a specific anti-codon) for a particular amino acid; and 'wobble' base-pairing, i.e. permitting non-standard base-pairing at the 3rd anti-codon position. Lineage: Eukaryota; Metazoa; Chordata; Mammalia; Rodentia; Cricetidae. The record is from Rfam by way of RNAcentral.